CCAGUGUAAGGGUACAAUGACUUCACGCACCUUUCGUCUGUCUGAAUAGUCCUCACUGUGUACCGCAUAUUCUCAUUAAAUACAAAUACCAGUCUUAGUCACCAAGCUAAAAUCUUUAUUUUAAAAGCAUGUUCUACUUAUACUAUCUAAUUAUUAUUAUUUGUUAUACAUUGAAACGUGCUGCCCGCCGGAGCAUUGUAAUUUUACUUUUACUUCGUCGGGUGUUCUCCUUAAGAUGUACACAGGAAACUCGGUGUAUGCAAGACGUCUGCUUGUCUAACGUAAAUGUUGAUUGGUCAGUUACAUCACGUGUCUAUGACAUCACUCACGUUACUCGCUAGUGAUACAUAAUGACAUGGCAUGUAUAUUUAAUUCUGUUGGGUUUUGUCGCUCAGUAGGAACAGCGGCCGACUCCACGCGAAAUCUUCUAAAACAAAUUGCAUUUCUACACACUCAGCUGGUAGACGGAGGAAAGACGCUGCUAUACGGCGCAGCAAGAGUGGCGCCUGCAUACAGAGGAAGUGGAGUCUUAGGAAGAUUUCACAGACUAAUUCAUAGCAAAUACUUCCGGUCACCUACAAUUUGCUACAUGACCUGUACAGUUUCUGAUGUCACCAUGACGACGAUUGGACAGAAGCUUCUAAGAGCUAACAGACAGGUGGCUGAGAAAAAAAUGACAAGUGUCGUGCUGACAUCAUUUGAUGUUAGUUUCAAAGUUUGUAAAACUUCAACACGUUUUCCGGGAAUACGAACACUCUAAUGACGACAUGUUAUCUAUCAUGUCUUGUGAUGACAGCCGCCUUCACCAUCUCUUCCCAGAAGGAAGAAUUAUUCUCGAUCUGAAGCCAUACCGACUGAUGGCAGCUAACGUGCCCCUCAUCACCAACACCUGCACACACCGCGUCUUCCUGGCUACAGACGCCAACAGUCCUCCCUUGGACACAGGCUUGCUGUCUGUCCCUACAGUCCUGUCUUCAGGAAGCUACUUCACUUGCAGUAAAGGUACCCGGUACAUAACUGAUCUUUUUGGCGAGGGAAGUGAAGAAGAGCUGCGCGCGCAUAUCACGUGGCACCUGUUGCGAUCAGCUGACGUAGGAAACGGAAAUGUUGUCUUCAGCAUCUUCUACACCAGAGGGUUGGCUGACUUUCUCGCAGACCUGGCAAGACUUUUCCACUGCGAAAAUCAAGUUUGUCCUACAAUAAGCUGAUCGCGUUAGAGCAAGAUGUUUGAAAUUUUAGUUUGUUUUAUACUUUGAUUGUUGCUGUUGUUUUUAUAUUUUAAUAUGUUUCUUAAAUUUUGCUAUCAACAUCAGUUGUCUAAAAUCAUUUAAAUGGGGAUUUUUCUGGAGAAAGCAUUUAUGAUAUUAGAAUCAGUAUAGUUCAAACAAGAUUUUAUCAUAGUGCAACCGUGAAAUUAGCUUGCUAUUCAUAUUCAAUAUCCCAACCACUUCUAUUUGACAUGACUGUGCUUACA
Pomacea canaliculata is the source of this 1474-nucleotide long non-coding RNA. RefSeq lists it as uncharacterized. The transcript has 3 exons. NCBI's taxonomy places the organism in Eukaryota, Metazoa, Mollusca, Gastropoda, Architaenioglossa, Ampullariidae. The record is from RefSeq and is a predicted model, not a curated record.